Molecule: long non-coding RNA, 249 nt
Filed under: Ananas comosus (pineapple)
Lineage: Eukaryota; Viridiplantae; Streptophyta; Magnoliopsida; Poales; Bromeliaceae
Description: long non-coding RNA (ACOM_LNC021256)
Source: RNAcentral
CUGCACUGAAAAGCCGAAUGAUUAAAGUUGCCGCAGAUCUGACAUUGUGUGCCAGAUUUCGGAAUGUAAGGUUGAUGGGUCGGAGUAUAGGGUUGAGAAUUAUUAGGUUGAGAAUGCGAAUAGGCUCCAGGAGAUUCACGACCAGGAUAUGAAUUGAAUCUACCGUGCGGUCCCCGACCACCGCGAUAUCUACCUCCACGACCUUCACGGCUUCUGCAUCCACGAUUUGCAUAAAGAGCUUCACCAUCU